GUCAGGAUGGCCGAGUGGUCUAAGGCGCCAGACUCAAGGCGUUGCUUUCCCCUCUGGGGUUUCUGGUCUCGCAAUCGAGGCGUGGGUUCGAAUCCCACUCCUGACA
RNAcentral lists this transfer RNA (106 nucleotides) under Cuculus canorus (common cuckoo). It matches the Rfam family "tRNA". Rfam says of the family: Transfer RNA (tRNA) molecules are approximately 80 nucleotides in length. Their secondary structure includes four short double-helical elements and three loops (D, anti-codon, and T loops). The record is from Rfam by way of RNAcentral. Lineage: Eukaryota; Metazoa; Chordata; Aves; Cuculiformes; Cuculidae.